GCGAAACCUCUGCAAUAGGCGAAAGCCUGACAGGGUUAUUCUGAGUGACUUUCGCUAAGAAAGUCUUUUGACAUCUCUAAAAAUGGUGUAGAAUAAGGGGUGGGCAAGUCUGGUGUCAGCCGCCGCGGUAAUACCAGCACCCCGAGUGGUCGGGACGAUUAUUGGGCCUAAAGCAUCCGUAGCCGGUUUUACAAGUCCUCCGUUAAAUCCAACUGCUUAACAGAUGGGCCGCGGAGGAUACUAUAAGACUAGGAGGCAGGAGAGGCAAGCGGUACUCAGUGGGUAGGGGUAAAAUCCGUUGAUCCAUUGAAGACCACCAGUGGCGAAGGCGGCUUGCCAGAAUGCGCUCGACGGUGAGGGAUGAAAGCUGGGGGAGCAAACCGGAUUAGAUACCCGGGUAGUCCCAGCUGUAAACGAUGCAGACUCGGUGAUGGACUAGCUUAAUGCUAGUCCAGUGCCGCAGGGAAGCCGUUAAGUCUGCCGCCUGGGUAGUACGGUCGCAAGACUGAAACU
Molecule: ribosomal RNA, 513 nt
Filed under: uncultured archaeon
Lineage: Archaea
Description: bacterial SSU rRNA
Rfam family: Archaeal small subunit ribosomal RNA
Source: RNAcentral